This 253-nucleotide ribosomal RNA is filed under the name uncultured bacterium. Its description in RNAcentral is "partial 16S ribosomal RNA". It matches the Rfam family "Bacterial small subunit ribosomal RNA", at positions 524 to 776 of the family's 1533-position model. The record is from RNAcentral.
UACGUAGGGUGCGAGCGUUAAUCGGAAUUACUGGGCGUAAAGUGUGCGCAGGUGGCUGAGCAAGUCGAGUGUGAAAUCCCCGGGCUUAACUUGGGAAUUGCGCUCGAAACUACUUGGCUGGAGUGUGGCAGAGGAAGGUGGAAUUCCACGUGUAGCGGUGAAAUGCGUAGAGAUGUGGAGGAACACCGAUGGCGAAGGCAGCCUUCUGGGCCAACACUGACGCUCAUGUGCGAAAGCGUGGGGAGCAAACAGG